This 510-nucleotide ribosomal RNA is filed under the name uncultured bacterium. RNAcentral describes it as "partial 16S ribosomal RNA". It matches the Rfam family "Bacterial small subunit ribosomal RNA", at positions 28 to 507 of the family's 1533-position model. The record is from RNAcentral.
GACGAACGCUGGCGGCGUGCUUAACACAUGCAAGCCGAACGAAGAGCGACGGAAGCUUGCUUCUAUCAAUCUUAGUGGCGAACGGGUGAGUAACGCGCAAUCAACCUGCCCUUCAGAGGGGGACAACAGUUGGAAACGACUGCUAAUACCGCAUACGAUCUAACCUCGGCAUCGAGGAUAGAUGAAAGGUGGCCUCUACAUGUAAGCUAUCACUGAAGGAGGGGAGUGCGUCUGAUUAGCGAGUUGGAGGGGUAAGGGCCCACCAAGGCGAGGAUUCGUAGCCGGGCUGAGAGGGAGGACGGCCACAAUGGGACUGGGGCACCGCCCAGACUUCUUAGGGGAGCAGCAGUGGGGGAUUUUCCGACAUGGACGACAGUCUGACGGCACAACGCCCCGUUGGUGAUGACGGCCUUCGGGUUGUUAAGCUCUGUUAAUCGGGACGGAAGGGCUUCUUGCGAAUAGUGAGAAGGAUUGACGGUACCGGAAUAGAAAGCCCCGGCUAACUACGUG